UUUCGUGGAGGUCCGAACCCACGAGCGUUGAAAAGCUCGGGGAUGACUUGUGGGUAGCGGUGAAAUUCCAAUCGAGCCCGGGGAUAGCUGGUUCUCCCCGAAAUAGCUUUAGGGCUAGCCUCAAGGUAAGAGAUACGGAGGUAGAGCACUGAAUGUCCUAGGGGGUAUUGCACCUACCGAAGACUAUCAAACUCCGAAUGCCGUCAUCU
RNAcentral lists this ribosomal RNA (209 nucleotides) under Clostridioides difficile. RNAcentral describes it as "partial 23S ribosomal RNA". It matches the Rfam family "Bacterial large subunit ribosomal RNA", at positions 762 to 970 of the family's 2925-position model. Lineage: Bacteria; Bacillati; Bacillota; Clostridia; Peptostreptococcales; Peptostreptococcaceae. The record is from RNAcentral.